RNA transcript from Boleophthalmus pectinirostris (great blue-spotted mudskipper), 1678 nucleotides. It is a transcript of the gene named histidine triad nucleotide binding protein 2, with no coding region annotated. Lineage: Eukaryota; Metazoa; Chordata; Actinopteri; Gobiiformes; Gobiidae. The record is from RefSeq and is a predicted model, not a curated record. The transcript is spliced from 6 exons.
GACGGUUUCCAGAGUCUGGCUCAUGAUAUCGCGACGUGUUGUUCGAACAUAAAAAGCUGCAGAAUUUUGACGUUUAAGUUUUGUUGUGAAGUUGCAAAAGGACUGUACUGAUGUAUCGGCAGAUUUUGCGAAGAUUCACAGUCGGGGCUGGUACAAAAACAGCGCUUUUUUACCACUGCCCUCGCCGAGUUCAGAGACACCUUUGCUCCAAAAGUGACGAGGUCCGACUGGCACAGGAGGCCAGCCAGAAGUACGGCUCCCCUGCUCCAACCAUCUUCUCCAAAGUCAUUGACAGAAGCCUACCUGCUGAUAUUAUUUAUGAGGAUGACAAGUGUUUGGCUUUCAGAGAUAUAAGUCCUCAGGCCCCCGUCCAUUUCCUGGUCAUUCCUAAAGUUCCCAUUCCCAGGAUAAGUGAAGCCAAAGAUGAUGACACUGAGCUUCUUGGACAUUUAUUGGUUGUUGCCAAAAAUGUUGCAAAGAAAGAAUGUUUACAGGAAGGAUACAGAGUUGUUAUAAAUGACGGCAAGCAUGGCGCACAAUCUGUCUACCACCUUCAUCUCCAUGUUUUGGGAGGAAGACAGAUGACAUGGCCACCGGGAUAACAUUAUGGCCUGAUAUUAAAAGAAAAACAAAUGUCAUAAACAUACAUUUUUCUGUCUGAAGGAACUGAGAGCAUAUUAUGGAUGUCCAACCACCUCCAGAGACUGGGUGACCAUGGGAGGGGUGUGGUGAGAUUCAGGCCAGGGGCAGAUGUGGUGUGACUGGUGGUAUGAUACUUCGACCUUGGUGCCCAGCAGUGAGGUUAUUGUGUGUCAUUGGAGAAGUGUGCUGAACUUUGCUCUAUAUUUACUGAAAAAACAGCACCGCCUUAACCUCAGCAGAAUCUGUGACAUCAGCUCAAGGAAAUAACUAAUGCAGGACAUAGACAUCUGUAAAAUAUAAUAAAUAACCAAAAAAUAAAACUAGGAGCAUAAAUUAAAUACUUAAUGCAAUUUGUAAUACAGAAGUAUUAAAGAGACAAGCAGGUGGUACCACCAGGCCAAGUUACAGGUUGGAUCUGUGAAGACAUGACCCUGCCCACUGUAAAAAUGUAGGUUAUUCCAAGGCAUUUCUGACCUAUAAAAAUACCCAUGAUGAAAUGCUAGAUAAUUAAUGCCAUGCUGUGGAACAUUCCAGAUAAUAGCAUCUUCAUGGAUGCAGAAGUUAUGCUUUAUGCCUUUUAAUUUAUAUGAAAAUUUGAAAACUUGAACUCUUUCAUGUUAAAUACUGUUUGUACAUAAUGGUGUAUUCUUGCGAACAGCAUUUGCAUUAAUUUGUAUUGAUUUGCAACAUCCAACUUUUACUGUAACCACCUCUGAAAGAAAAAAUAUGAAUUCUGUCUUUUUUAUGCUGCUUUUUUAUGAAAUUGUCACAAUUUUUUUUGAAAGGUAUAUUGUUUUGUGCACUCUACCUUUGUUAUCUGAAGUUGCAACAGACAUUAUAUUUUUAUGCUCCAAAGUCCAUAUAUUGUCGUAAAUAGCGUUUCAUCAUCCCACUGACAGGUCUCAUCAUGCCUAACUGAUAAUAACUUUCUUUAUAAGUCAGUUCAGUACUAAAGUUACAGACAUCAACCUUAACCCAUAUGAUUACAUCCUGUCAUUGUCUUUGUCCCAUAACAGUACCCAUAACAACACUCAUA